AGGAAAAGAAACCAACAGGGAUUGCCUCAGUAACGGCGAGUGAAGCGGCAAAAGCUCAAAUUUGAAAUCUGGUACCUUUGGUGCCCGAGUUGUAAUUUGAAGAUAGUUUUCUGGUGCUGGCCCUUGUCUAUGUUCCUUGGAACAGGACGUCACAGAGGGUGAGAAUCCCGUCUGGCGGGGUGUCCAGUGCUUUGUAGAUUUCUAUCGACGAGUCGAGUUGUUUGGGAAUGCAGCUCUAAGUGGGUGGUAAAUUCCAUCUAAAGCUAAAUAUUGGCGAGAGACCGAUAGCGAACAAGUACAGUGAUGGAAAGAUGAAAAGAACUUUGAAAAGAGAGUGAAAAAGUACGUGAAAUUGUUGAAAGGGAAGGGUAUUAGAUCAGACUUGGUGUUUUGUGAUUAUCUUCCCUUCUUGGGUUGUGCACUCGCAUUUCACUGGGCCAGCAUCGGUUCGGGUGGUAAGAUAAUGACAUUGGAACGUGGCACUACCUUCGGGUGGUGUGUUAUAGCCC
RNAcentral lists this ribosomal RNA (509 nucleotides) under Williopsis saturnus. Its description in RNAcentral is "eukaryotic LSU rRNA". It matches the Rfam family "Eukaryotic large subunit ribosomal RNA", at positions 54 to 561 of the family's 3401-position model. The record is from RNAcentral. Lineage: Eukaryota; Fungi; Ascomycota; Saccharomycetes; Phaffomycetales; Wickerhamomycetaceae.